This 684-nucleotide long non-coding RNA is filed under the name Rattus norvegicus (Norway rat). RNAcentral's name for it is "long non-coding RNA NONRATT009803". The record is from RNAcentral. Lineage: Eukaryota; Metazoa; Chordata; Mammalia; Rodentia; Muridae.
UUGAAAGCCAGCAUUGGGUGUGUAGGAUUUAAGCCUAUAGAUAGCCUUGUUGGAAUAAAGGAAAAGGAAGAUCAAAGGAGAGCACGCUGGUGGAGGACGGCGCCGGCUAACCUUGCUAACCAUUAGGAAUUGCUAUUAAGAAAAGAGAGAUACAAUUGUUUGUUUUGAGCAGUUUGUUCUAUAAGGUAUUUUUUUGUUUUUCUUUGUUUUUUUUUUCUCUCUUUUUAAUUUUUCCCAUCCCAUUUUCUAAAAGCUUUAUUUAAAAGCUUGAGAUUUGGGAUCUUUUUUGGUGCAGAGGUCUUAUUUAUUUGUGUGUGUGUGUGUGUGUGUGUGUGUGUGUGUGUGUGUGUGUGUGUGUGUGUUGUGGUCACAGCUGACUCAUCAUGUCUGCCCUGACGCCUCCGACUGAUAUGCCAACCCCCACCACUGACAAGAUAACCCAGGCUGCCAUGGAGACCAUCUACCUCUGCAAAUUCCGGGUGUCUAUGGAUGGAGAAUGGCUCUGCCUUCGAGAGCUGGAUGACAUCUCCCUUACACCUGACCCAGAGCCUACCCAUGAAGAUCCUAAUUAUCUCAUGGCUAACGAGCGCAUGAACCUGAUGAACAUGGCGAAGCUGAGCAUCAAGGGCUUGAUUGAGUCGGCUCUGAACCUGGGGCGGACCCUGGACUCUGACUACGCACCUC